Molecule: ribosomal RNA, 470 nt
Filed under: uncultured bacterium
Lineage: Bacteria
Description: bacterial SSU rRNA
Rfam family: Bacterial small subunit ribosomal RNA
Source: RNAcentral
UUGCCUACGGGGGGCUGCAGUGGGGAAUUUUGGACAAUGGGGGCAACCCUGAUCCAGCCAUGCCGCGUGCGGGAAGAAGGCCUUCGGGUUGUAAACCGCUUUUAGCCGGAAAGAAAAGGCGGAGGCUAAUACCCUCCGUUGUUGACGGUACCGGCGGAAUAAGCACCGGCUAACUACGUGCCAGCAGCCGCGGUAAUCCGUAGGGUGCGAGCGUUAAUCGGAAUUACUGGGCGUAAAGCGUGCGCAGGCGGUUCGUGGUGGCUGAUGUGAAAGCCCCGGGCUCAACCUGGGAACGGCAUUGGAAACUGGCGGACUGGAGUGCGGCAGAGGGGGGUGGAAUUCCGCGUGUAGCAGUGAAAUGCGUAGAGAUGCGGAGGAACACCGAUGGCGAAGGCAGCCCCCUGGGCCGACACUGACGCUCAGGCACGAAAGCGUGGGGAGCAAACAGGAUUAGAUACCCCAGUAGUCGC